This 20-nucleotide non-coding RNA is filed under the name Arabidopsis thaliana (thale cress). RNAcentral also lists the same sequence under 1 other name. Lineage: Eukaryota; Viridiplantae; Streptophyta; Magnoliopsida; Brassicales; Brassicaceae. The record is from RNAcentral.
UUUGGAUUGAAGGGAGCUCU